Molecule: non-coding RNA, 74 nt
Organism: Podarcis lilfordi (Lilford's wall lizard)
Lineage: Eukaryota; Metazoa; Chordata; Lepidosauria; Squamata; Lacertidae
Source: the annotation of a GenBank genome assembly
ACUCAGAUACAGCUCAAUCGGUAGAGUAUGAGGCUCUUAAUCUCAGGUUGUGGGUUCGAGCCCCACGUUGGGUG